Molecule: ribosomal RNA, 3912 nt
Filed under: Triticum aestivum (bread wheat)
Lineage: Eukaryota; Viridiplantae; Streptophyta; Magnoliopsida; Poales; Poaceae
Description: partial small subunit ribosomal RNA
Source: RNAcentral
AUGUUCUCGCCGGCGAUCCGGAAACCCCACCUCCACCGCAGGGAGAAGGAGGAGGCGACCCCUUCACCCCCUCCUCCCGCUCCCGCCCACUCCCCUUCCCCUGGUGGAUUCAUCCUCUCCGACCGCCCCGCCACCGGCACCCCGGCCCCAUGGACCACCUCCUCCCUCCUCGCCAGGAUUUCGACAUCAAAGCAAACAGACAGGGCCGGCGAUUCUGACCAGAUCCAACCAGUGCGCGUAGCAGAGUUUCCCCAAGUCGUGAGGAAUGCACAAGCCAACCUUCUGCAGAGGAAUUUCGCCGAUGCCGUUUAUGUAUCCCUUGUAGGCAAGAGCAUGCUUGUAGGUGGCAUUGACAAAGAGACAUCCCUUGCAUGGAUGAUAUGUGGAAAUGAGCUUUUUGUCUGGAGCUACUUGGCUGCUGUUGCAAAAGAUUGUCUUGCACUUGAGAUCCCGUCUUCGCUUGUGGGAGACAAAGACGGAAAACCCCUCUCUGGUAACCAGUGGACGGUUUGCAUCAUGAGAUGGCAUAGUAGUGGUCCAUCAACAAGGAACAGUGGAGAUAUGUUGCACCGAAGAAGUUCAACUGGUGUUAUCCUCUGCAACAGAAGAACACAAGCUAUUGCGUAUUGGCCUGAUAUCUAUGAUGAAAGUAGUGGCAAGGGUCCAGUUCUUAGUUUAUUUGGCCACAGUGACACAUCUGCAAGUGAUGCCAUAUCUGUCUGUUACAGGUUUAACUCGGUAAUUGCAGCUUCCGUUCCAGGAGCUGCUCAUGAAUGUAUUGCGAUUGCUUCUGAGCCAACAGGUGCUUUAUGGUUGUUUCAGUGUUCACCACUGAGAAUUCACCGAAGAGAAGUCCAUUGUGAUACAUUAGGAGAUAAUGCUACUGAUCAUUCUCAGAAAAAUAAUGGUGGAAGAUCCUUGGUUUGGCUACCAAGCAAUGAAUCAUCCGAGGCUGCUGAACGGAAGUUCUUUUUGUUGACUAGCCAGGGGAUACAAUGUUGGGGCAUCUCACUCUUGCAUGGAAUCAAUGUAAAAAUAUUAGGGUCUCAGGAAAUUGUUGGUAGUGAUGGGGAGUUGGGCAUAAAAAAGGACAUAGCUGGUCAAAAGAACAUCUGGCUUUUGGACAUGCAGAUAGAUGAGCGCGGGAAGGAAUUUAAUAUUCUUGUUGCUACCUUCUGCAAAGACCGGGUGAGUGGGUCAAACUACACUCAGUAUUCACUUCUGACAAUGCUGUACAAAUCUAACCAAAAGUUUCCAUCCGAAAACAAUGUGGUUAAACGCGAAAGGUUUUUGGAGAAAAAAGCUCCUGCUCAGGUGAUAAUUCCUAAAGCUCGAGUGGAGGAUGAAGAAUUUUUGUUCUCCAUGAGGCUAAAAACUGGCGGCAAGCCUUCUGGCUCAGUGAUCAUCUUAUCAGGUGAUGGAAAAGCAACGGUGGCCAUCUAUUGGAGGGGCUCUACCCGACUCUAUCAAUUUGAUCUGCCUUGGGAUGCUGGAAAGGUUUUUGAUGCUUCCAUUAUCCCAUCUGCUGAGGAUAGGGAUGAAGGAGCUUGGGUUGUUCUGACAGAAAAGGCAGGAAUCUGGGCAAUACCUGAAAAGGCUGUAUUAGUAGGUGGGGUUGAGCCUCCAGAGCGCAGCUUAUCACGAAAAGGUAGCUGUAAUGAAGCGGUCGCUGAAGAGAAAAGGAGAAGUCAAGCAUUCAGUGCCAGUAUUGUUCCCAGAAGAGUUAGCUCUGAGGCUUGGAGUGCUGGAGACAGGCAAAGACCAGCAUUAACUGGCGUAGCCCAGCAGGCUGUGGUUGAUGAAGAGGCUGAGAUGUUACUUAAUAGGCUGUUUCAUGAUUUUAUUUUGUCAGGCGCUGUUCAUGAGGCACUUCAAAAGCUUAGAGUAGCAGGGGCAUUUGAGAAAGAGGGUGAGAUGAACGUAUUUGUUCGAGUAAGCAGAUCUAUUGUAAACACAUUAUCUAAGCACUGGACAACAACUAGAGAAGCUGAAUUUCUUGCUUCAACUAUUGUUUCAUCCCUUGCCGAGAAACGUCAAAAACAUGAGAAAUUCCUUCAAUUUCUUGUCUUGUCCAAGUGCCAUGAAGAACUCUCUUCAAAACAAAGAGCUGCAAUGCUAAGUGUCAUGGAACAUGGAGAAAAGCUCUCUGGAAUGAUCCAUCUUAGAGAAUUACAAAAUGCGCUUAGCCAGCAGAGUUCAAGCACACGUUUAUCACCACAGUCCAAAACUCCAACUGCUGGUGCACUGUGGAAUCUCAUUCAGCUGGUCGGUGAGAAAGCUCGACGGAACACUGUUCUAUUAAUGGAUCGUGAUAAUGCUGAAGUUUUCUACAGUAGAGUUUCUGACAUAGAGGAUCUAUUUUAUUGUUUGUCGCAUCAACUUCGGUAUAUUAUAACCGGAGAAGAACACCCAUCUGUUCAGAUGCAAUGUGCACUUGAGUUAUCAAAUGCCUGUGUGACCUUAGUUCAGGCAGCAUUACACUACAGAGCGGAGUACAAGGACUGGUAUCCUUCUCCUGAAGGGCUGAUAACAUGGAACAGUCAGCCUGUAGUGCGGUCUGGAAUCUGGAAUCUGGCAUCAUCUGUGAUGGAGCUUUUGAGAGAACCAGGAUCUGCAGGCAUGCCAAUGAAAUCUAAUCUAUGGUCUCAGCUGGAAGGACUCACAGAUAUGCUACUGGAGGGAUAUAUUGGUGUAUUAACUGCCAAAUUUGAACGUGGGGAGGACCAUGGUGUGCUAGCCCAAGAAUACUGUGAACGGAGAGAUGAGCUUCUUGGAUCCCUUUAUGACCUUGCAAAGCAAAUUAUAGAAGCAAAAUAUCAGGAGUCAAGUGAAGGCAAUGACAAUCCUGAUCUGAAAGAAUCUAUAUUUAGAGAGGUCACUUCUCCUAUUUUGGCAACAGCUAAACGGCAUGAAGGGUACCAAACGUUGUGGCAGAUUUGCUAUGAUAUCAGUGAUACGGUUCUCCUCCGCAAUCUUAUGCAUGAUAGUAUAGGACCUCAUGGGGGAUUCAGUUUCUACGUUUUUAAACAGCUAAUCAACAGUCGGCAUUACGCUAAGCUGUUAAGGCUGGGAGAAGAAUUCCAGGAAGAGCUAGCUAAUUUUCUGAAAGACCGCAGCGAUCUUUUGUGGCUUCAUGAGAUAUGCUUAAAUCAGUUCUCAACUGCUUCAGAGACUCUUCAUACCUGUGCUCUGCUUUCAAGUCCUGGAGAAGAUGCUGACCUAACAAGCACCAGAAAGUCGCUGUCCUUUGUUGAAAGAAGACGUCUUCUCUAUCUCUCUAAAAUUGCUGCAACAGCAGGUAAGGAUGUUGAUUAUGAAGUGAAGGUUGCACAGAUAGAUGCUGAUAUCCGGAUUCUAAAUCUUCAGGAAGAGAUUGUUCAGCAUGAUCCAGAAUAUGCACAGGGCAAACAUGCAAGCAAGCUUCUUCCGCCAUCAGAACUGAUCGAGAUGUGCAUGAAGAGAGGCCGCGAGCUUUCUCUCAAAGCCUUCGAAGUAUUUGCUUGGACAGGCUCCUCGUUCCGAAGCUCCAACAAAGGCCUUCUAGAGGCUUGCUGGACAAACGCAGCCGACCAGGAUGACUGGGUCGAGCUCUCACAGGCAUCAGUUUCAGAAGGCUGGAGCGACGAGGUCAUCCAAGAAUCUCUUCAGGGAACGGUCCUCUUCAACGCUUCGAGGCUGUGCUACAGCUCAGACGCGGUGGUGUUCGACGGCACGUUCGAGGAGGUGCUCCCCGUGAGGAAAGAGGACGUGCAAGCGAGAGGCCUGGAGGCCAAGUGCUUCUCGGUGGAGGAGGUGCUGAUGCAGCACGACGCUUUUCCGGACGCCGGUAGGCUGAUGAUGACGGCGGUGGUGAUGGGCAAGGAGCUGUCCUAUGCUGCCCCGGCAGAUGAGCCUGUGGACAUGGACUCAUGA